GACGAACGCUGGCGGCGUGCUUAACACAUGCAAGUCGAACGGUGAAGGGACCAGCUUGCUGGUUCUGGAUGAGUGGCGAACGGGUGAGUAACACGUGAGUAACCUGCCCCCUUCUUCUGGAUAACUGCAUGAAAGUGUGGCUAAUACGGGAUAUUCUGGGUCUGUCGCAUGGCGGGCCCGGGAAAGAUAUUGCUUCGGUGGGGGAUGGGCUCGCGGCCUAUCAGCUUGUUGGUGGGGUGAUGGCCUACCAAGGCGGUGACGGGUAGCCGGCCUGAGAGGGUGGACGGUCACACUGGGACUGAGACACGGCCCAGACUCCUACGGGAGGCAGCAGUGGGGAAUAUUGCACAAUGGGCGCAAGCCUGAUGCAGCGACGCCGCGUGAGGGAUGGAGGCCUUCGGGUUGUAAACCUCUUUCGCCAGUGAAGCAGGCCUGCUCCUUGUGGGUGGGUUGACGGUAGCUGGAUAAGAAGCGCCGGCUAACUACGUG
This 489-nucleotide ribosomal RNA is filed under the name uncultured bacterium. RNAcentral's name for it is "partial 16S ribosomal RNA". It matches the Rfam family "Bacterial small subunit ribosomal RNA", at positions 28 to 507 of the family's 1533-position model. The record is from RNAcentral.